CUCUCUCUCCCUCUCUCUCUCUGAGUUCUCUCUCUAGAUUGCCCCUUCUCUUUUUAACCCCCAAAUUCCAAACCCUAACCCUAAAAUUUCCCUAGAAGGAUACAGAAUUUCUCUCAUGAAAUUCCUGCCGCAAGCAAACGCUGGAUUCCCAAUCAAAUCUUCGUUUAAAACAAAUCGAAGCUUAAUUUGAUGAUAAUAAUCAAAUUAUCUUACUCUCUUAAACUCUAGCUAUCCUCUUUCUCCGUGUCUAUCUCGUCUUAGAAAUAUAUGGAGGGCUCUGUAGUGGAGGAUCUCGGAGCCCCUGAGUCAUGGGAGGUGGCCGAUUUGGACGAAACGAUGAGCCGUUUGAUGCUUCGGGAUUCGAAGCAAGAAUCCGAAAAACUCCCUCUAGAGCUCUCCGCCGAUGUUUCCAUUCAUUCGGGCUUGGCGUCGGGUUAUGGGUCUUCAGCUUCCGGUACCGGCAGUGGUGAGAAAGUGUCAAACGAUAUAAUUAAUCAGGUCGAUCAGUUCCUUCGUGAAGCCUUGCAGAACCCUCGUGAGCGGCUCUCCAUUCUGAGGAUGGAGCAAGAUGUUGAAAAGUUCAUUUGUGAUCCUACACAACAGCAAUUAGAAUUUCAUCAGUUGCCCACUUCAUAUUUACGGUUGGC
Molecule: unclassified non-coding RNA, 647 nt
Filed under: Hevea brasiliensis (rubber tree)
Lineage: Eukaryota; Viridiplantae; Streptophyta; Magnoliopsida; Malpighiales; Euphorbiaceae
Source: RNAcentral